Molecule: ribosomal RNA, 908 nt
Filed under: uncultured bacterium
Lineage: Bacteria
Description: bacterial SSU rRNA
Rfam family: Bacterial small subunit ribosomal RNA
Source: RNAcentral
GCAGUCGAGGGGUAUAGGUUUUCGGACCUAGAGACCGGCGCACGGGUGCGUAACGCGUAUGCAAUCUACCUUUUACAGAGGGAUAGCCCAGAGAAAUUUGGAUUAAUACCUCAUAGUAUUAUUGAAUGGCAUCAUUUAAUAAUUAAAGUCACAACGGUAAAAGAUGAGCAUGCGUCCCAUUAGCUUGUUGGUAAGGUAACGGCUUACCAAGGCAACGAUGGGUAGGGGUCCUGAGAGGGAGAUCCCCCACACUGGUACUGAGACACGGACCAGACUCCUACGGGAGGCAGCAGUGAGGAAUAUUGGUCAAUGGGCGCAAGCCUGAACCAGCCAUGCCGCGUGCAGGAUGAAGCAUCUAUGGUGUGUAAACUGCUUUUGUACGAGAAGAAACACUCCUUCGUGAAGGAGCUUGACGGUAUCGUAAGAAUAAGGACCGGCUAACUCCGUGCCAGCAGCCGCGGUAAUACGGAGGGUCCAAGCGUUAUCCGGAAUCAUUGGGUUUAAAGGGUCCGUAGGCGGUUUUGUAAGUCAGUGGUGAAAGCCCAUCGCUCAACGGUGGAACGGCCAUUGAUACUGCAAGACUUGAAUUAUUAGGAAGUAACUAGAAUAUGUAGUGUAGCGGUGAAAUGCUUAGAGAUUACAUGGAAUACCAAUUGCGAAGGCAGGUUACUACUAAUGGAUUGACGCUGAUGGACGAAAGCGUGGGUAGCGAACAGGAUUAGAUACCCUGGUAGUCCACGCCGUAAACGAUGGAUACUAGCUGUUCGGAGCAAUCUGAGUGGCUAAGCGAAAGUGAUAAGUAUCCCACCUGGGGAGUACGUUCGCAAGAAUGAACUCAAAGGAAUUGACGGGGGCCCGCACAAGCGGUGGAGCAUGUGGUUUUAUUCGAUGAUACGCGAGGAACCUUA